CCAUAUACACACAAUUAGGGCAUUUUUGCAAACUAGCCCUCAUAUUUUCACAUUUUGACAUUUUAGUCCCUAAUUCACAAAAUCACAAAAUACACAUAAUUUGCUUGUACACAAGCUUAGCUAAAUUUUCAUAGCUCUCAUAGAAGUCCAUACAUUUCAUUUAUUUCACUUUUUAGUCCCUCAAAAUAACAUUUUUACAAUUUAUCCCAAAUUACUCAAUUUCAUAAAAAAUCCAAAGACAAAAC
RNAcentral lists this long non-coding RNA (245 nucleotides) under Gossypium barbadense (sea-island cotton). Its description in RNAcentral is "long non-coding RNA (GBAR_LNC000526)". The record is from RNAcentral. Lineage: Eukaryota; Viridiplantae; Streptophyta; Magnoliopsida; Malvales; Malvaceae.